UAGGGAAUCUUCGGCAAUGGGGGGAACCCUGACCGAGCAACGCCGCGUGAGUGAAGAAGGUUUUCGGAUCGUAAAGCUCUGUUGUUAAGGAAGAACGAGUGUGAGAAUGGAAAGUUCAUGCUGUGACGGUACUUAACCAGAAAGGGACGGCUAACUACGUGCCAGCAGCCGCGGUAAUACGUAGGUCCCGAGCGUUGUCCGGAUUUAUUGGGCGUAGAGCGAGCGCAGGCGGUUAGAAAAGUCUGAAGUGAAAGGCAGUGGCUCAACCAUUGUAGGCUUUGGAAACUGUUUAACUUGAGUGCAGAAGGGGAGAGUGGAAUUCCCAGUGUAGCGGUGAAAUGCGUAGAUAUUGGGAGGAACACCAGUAGCGAAGGCGGCUUUCUGGACUGCAACUGACACUGAGGCACGAAAGCGUGGGUAGCAAACAGG
RNAcentral lists this ribosomal RNA (429 nucleotides) under Verrucomicrobiota bacterium. RNAcentral's name for it is "Verrucomicrobia bacterium partial 16S ribosomal RNA". It matches the Rfam family "Bacterial small subunit ribosomal RNA", at positions 355 to 776 of the family's 1533-position model. The record is from RNAcentral. Lineage: Bacteria; Pseudomonadati; Verrucomicrobiota.